AUUGAACGCUGGCGGCAGGCCUAACACAUGCAAGUCGAGCGCGCGUCGGACGGGUGAGUAACGUAUGGGGGCUGCCCGUUAGAGGGGGGUAACUAUACGAAACAGUGUCUAUUACCGCAUAUUCUCUGAGAAUCCACAUGUGAUUAGCUAGUAGGUAUGGUAAGGGCUUACCUAGACGACGAUCCCUAUCUGGUCUGAGAGGAUGAUCAGCCACACUGGGACUGAGACACGGCCCAGACUCCUACGGAGGCAGCAGUGGGGAAUAUUGCACAAUGGGCGAAAGCCUGAUGCAGCCAUGCCGCGUGUAUGAAGAAGGCCUUAGGGUUGUAAAGUACUUUCAGUCGGGAGGCGUUACCGGCAGAAGAAGCACCGGCUAACUCCGUGCCAGCAGCCGCGGUAAUUC
Molecule: ribosomal RNA, 403 nt
Filed under: uncultured bacterium
Lineage: Bacteria
Description: partial 16S ribosomal RNA
Rfam family: Bacterial small subunit ribosomal RNA
Source: RNAcentral